RNAcentral lists this ribosomal RNA (484 nucleotides) under uncultured bacterium. Its description in RNAcentral is "partial 16S ribosomal RNA". It matches the Rfam family "Bacterial small subunit ribosomal RNA", at positions 29 to 507 of the family's 1533-position model. The record is from RNAcentral.
AUUGAACGCUGGCGGCAUGCUUUACACAUGCAAGUCGAACGGCAGCGCGGGCUUCGACCUGGCGGCGAGUGGCGAACGGGUGAGUAAUACAUCGGAACGUGCCCAGUAGUGGGGGAUAGCUCGGCGAAAGCCGGAUUAAUACCGCAUACGACCUGAGGGUGAAAGCGGGGGAUCUUCGGACCUCGCGCUCUUGGAGCGGCCGAUGGCCGAUUAGCUAGUUGGUGGGGUAAAGGCCUACCAAGGCGACGAUCUGUAGCUGGUCUGAGAGGACGACCAGCCACACUGGGACUGAGACACGGCCCAGACUCCUACGGGAGGCAGCAGUGGGGAAUGUUGGACAAUGGGCGAAAGCCUGAUCCAGCAAUGCCGCGUGUGUGAUGAAGGCCUUCGGGUUGUAAAGCACUUUUGGCGGGAACGAAAAGGACUGUACCAAUACCACGGUUCGAUGACGGUACCCGCAGAAUAAGCACCGGCUAACUACGUG